GUGCUUUCUGUGAAGCCGGGCUGUAAGGCAUCCGGUGGAGAGAUCACUAGUGAGAAUGAUGACAUGAGUAGCGACAAAGAGUGUGAGAGACACUCUCGCCGAAAGUCCAAGGGUUCCUGCUUAAAGCUAAUCUGAGCAGGGUAAGCCGACCCCUAAGUCGAGGCCGAAAGGCGUAGACGAUGGGAACCAGGUUAAUAUUCCUGGGCCAGGAGGAAGUGACGGAUUGUGAAGGUUGUUUGCCCUUAUCGGAUUGGGCAGGCCGCUGAUCAGUCCCUGGAAAUAGCCCUCCAUAAGACCGUACCCUAAACCGACACAGGUGGACUGGUAGAGCAUACCAAGGCGCUUGAGAGAACUAUGUUGAAGGAACUCGGCAAAAUACCUCCGUAAGUUCGCGAGAAGGAGGCCCGGUUCCUAGGCAACUAGGGGCUGGGGGCACAAACCAGGGGGUGGCGACUGUUUACUAAAAACACAGGGCUCUGCGAAGUCGCAAGACGACGUAUAGGGUCUGACGCCUGCCCGGUGCCUGAAGGUUAAAAGGAGGGGUGAGAGCUCUGAAUUGAAGCCCAGGUAAACGGCGGCCGUAACUAUAACGGUCCUAAGGU
Molecule: ribosomal RNA, 602 nt
Filed under: Alexandrium tamarense
Lineage: Eukaryota; Dinophyceae; Gonyaulacales; Pyrocystaceae
Description: partial Bacterial large subunit ribosomal RNA
Rfam family: Bacterial large subunit ribosomal RNA
Source: RNAcentral